Heterocephalus glaber (naked mole-rat) is the source of this 507-nucleotide non-coding RNA. The record is from RefSeq and is a predicted model, not a curated record. NCBI's taxonomy places the organism in Eukaryota, Metazoa, Chordata, Mammalia, Rodentia, Bathyergidae.
UGUCCAGAAUAGGAAGCCAGUGAUUCAGAAUGUUGCUUUGACUCAAAUCCUCUACUUUUAGUGUCCCUACUUUCAUUCUUUUCAGAUUAGAAGGGGAUUAAAAAUAGAUACCACACAAGAAAUAAAGUAAUAUAACUAUGUAACACAUAAGGAUUGUACUGGCCAGUGUAGGCUAAAUUAUAAUGCAAUUAAUGGACAUUCCCUAAAUACCUGUUUAAAACAACUAAGACGUUUCCUUUUACUCUACAGAUCCAACAUGGGCCAGCUGAGACUCUCCAUUGCUUCAGAGUCCUUAGGGACUCAGGGCUUUGGUCUCAGGCUGAGAUUUCACCAUCAACUUUCCGGCUCUCAGGCCUUUGGACUUGGACUGAACCAUACUAUUGGAUUCCAUGGUUCUCCAGCUUGUAGAGGCCUAUUUUAGGGCUUCUCAGUCUCCACAGUGGUAUGAACUAAUUUCUAUAAUAAACCCUCCCUUAUCCAUAUUAAAAUAUAAUUUGAUUUUAAAAA